UUCGGGAGUAAAAUGUUGUAU
Molecule: non-coding RNA, 21 nt
Organism: Caenorhabditis elegans
Lineage: Eukaryota; Metazoa; Nematoda; Chromadorea; Rhabditida; Rhabditidae
Source: Ensembl